This 253-nucleotide ribosomal RNA is filed under the name uncultured bacterium. RNAcentral's name for it is "partial 16S ribosomal RNA". It matches the Rfam family "Bacterial small subunit ribosomal RNA", at positions 524 to 776 of the family's 1533-position model. The record is from RNAcentral.
UACGGGGGGGGUAAGCGUUGUUCGGAAUUACUGGGCGUAAAGGGCUCGUAGGCGGCCAACUAAGUCAUACGUGAAAUCCCUCAGCUUAACUGGGGAACUGCGUGUGAUACUGGAUGGCUGGAGUUUGGGAGAGGGAUGCGGAAUUCCAGGUGUAGCGGUGAAAUGCGUAGAUAUCUGGAGGAACACCGGUGGCGAAGGCGGCAUCCUGGACCAAUACUGACGCUGAGGAGCGAAAGCCAGGGGAGCAAACGGG